Poecilia latipinna (sailfin molly) is the source of this 3420-nucleotide long non-coding RNA. RefSeq lists it as uncharacterized. The record is from RefSeq and is a predicted model, not a curated record. NCBI's taxonomy places the organism in Eukaryota, Metazoa, Chordata, Actinopteri, Cyprinodontiformes, Poeciliidae. The transcript has 2 exons.
AUAAAAAGAAAUGUACAAAAAGGUUUACAAGUUUAUAAAUUAGAUAGCAGGAAAUCAAAUCCACAAACAUCGAUACCAUCAAGUGCUGCAGUUAAAUAACAAACAAAGACCUAUUACUCCAAAUAAAAUCUCUACAUCAAAUCAAAGAUGACCGUAAGUGACUUUUAAAUAUGCCUGUAAAGAGUAAAAUAUGCACAAGUAAAAAUGCAAAAGCAAACGUUACAUGUGUUUUCUUGCAUGCAUGGGAGCUGUAUUUACAGUAUGUCUGUAAGCUGGAGCAGAGCUGCAGGUGGAGUGAAGUGGUUCUGUUAUCACAGGAUGUGCGAUGGAUCGUUAAAGAUUAUUCUCAGAGUUUGUUAGUACAUAUGUAUGAGGCGCGAGGCAGCAGGGUUUCUGCAAGUAUCAGUGAGGUUAUGCCAACACAUUUCUGUAGUCUUUUCAAGUCCACUAUGAUUUAAAAUUAAGAUGUAUAUAUAUGAAAAACAACCAACAACAAACAAGUUAAAUCUAACCUUGUCAACAUAAAUUGGUAUUUUACUUUGGUGCCUUUGCACUUGCUAAUAAACCUCAAAUACCUUCCUACAGUGCAUCGUAACCUUCAUAAAAAUGAUUUCAAAGCUUCAGAUAUCAAACCAAUUUUUAUACAGCCGAGUGUGGACGCUUCAAUAAAAAAGUAACUACGGUUCUGUUUCUGGCCUAACGACUUUUUGGCAAACGGCAACAAAUUAGUUCACUGUUGAUAAAACAAAAACAAAACAAAACAAUCUCUUUAAUUCAUCCCAGUCCAGUUUUUGAUCACACCUCAGCACUGAGAGAACAUUAGUAAAGCUUUUAAAUGUCGAUGUGCCUGAAGCUUGUUUGUCGUUUCACUGGAUCUCGACACAGCUCAUCCAAACGUACUGAUCCACUAGUAAAGGAGGCGGGUGUGUCUGGUACUUUCCUAGAUUGGUUCAGAUGGUACUCACCAGACUGUGACGACUUUGUUUCAUUUGGUAAUUAUAAUUCAUCAAGGCUCUAUUCUCAGGCCACUUUUCUUCUUCUACACGCGCUUCCUGGUUCAGAUUGUAAACUAAUCAAACAUUGUUUUUACCAGCUUUGUGUCUCACCAUAUCACCACAUAUCACCAUGAGCUUAAAGUCAGUGUGUCCAUAAUUUUAAUGACUAGUAGUCAGGAUUGUAUCUAUAUUAAUGCAAAUCAGUAAACUGGCUGUUGGUCCCAAAAAUAAAAGAUUAGUGGUCAGCAAUUAACUAGCGUAUUGGCUAAAGAUCAUAGAGGGUUCAAGAAACCUCAGCAUCAUUUAAUGACUCGGAUCUAGAUUUUAACAAACUGGGUUACUUUAAUUGUCACUUCUGGUCUCUGUUAAAAAGUCGGUCAGCGGCAGCUCAUUAAAAACGAGGCAACAAUCCUGACCAUCAGAGGAAAACUGAACAUAUCACACAAGAUCACAAAUCACUGCACUGGUUCCCAGUUUGUAAAAGAAUAGAUUUUAAAAUCUUGUCUCAAAAGUAUGGAAAUAUUUGGGCCUAGAUAAUUUCUGAGUUGCUAUUCAAGGUUUUCAUGUUAUUAUGCCUUAGAUGUUUAUUGGUUUAUUUUUUUAAUUUUCUUUUUUUUCUUUUCUCUUUAUGCAAUGAUUUUGCUUUGUAGUUCUUUCUUAAAUACCAAGUAUGUAACUGGUAGAAAACAAACAAACAAAACAAAAUCAGUUGCAUUUAAUUACCUAAAUAUAAAAUUAUAAGCCGAAAGGCAAAUUUCACAAGCAUAAAACUUCUGCAGGCUUAGGAGGAAGGCUGAAUGUCUGAGGACAAAUUCCUUGCCACAGGGCUUAUUGCUGUCCUGCAUUAUAGGGUUUGAAGUUUUAUUACGGCAUAAUAACACAGUCUAGACAACCAAUCGCAGUGCAAAGACAUGACACAUUUCCACAUGAUAAAAGAAGUUUACAUUUAAGACAAAAAAAAAGUGUCUAGUAGUUUAAGACCUUUGGAAAAUCUGACCUCAUUGAAUACAUUUUGGGACUAAUACAUUUAAGACUUUUUAACUUUUUAAGACCCUGCAGAUCCCUGGCCUGCAUUUAAGUGUGUGGUUGUGUGCACUGCCUGUGGUUGACGGCAGCUGCAGGAAUGUGAAGGGAGCGUAAAGUUGAGGCUUACAGAACAUCUGCUGGCCGUAGUAAUGAUGGAUGUUCACACUUCUUUUUUUUUUUUUUUCCCAGAAGAGAUUCUCACCUCUCUCCCUCCUUCAUCCUGCCAAGUCUGUCUCCAGUCCCUUUCUUUCUACUUCCCUGCUUCCCCUCUGUAGUCCGCUCAGUUGCUUUCCAGGACGCAUUAAUACAUCUGCCCGUAUUCCUACGCGUCGCCGCUCCUAAAUCCGGCGAGCCUAACUGUUUUCUUCUCCUUCACCUUUCCAUCCCUCCAUCCCUUCUUCUCGGCCAUAAAACAAUAAGUCUUGAAUGUCUGUGAGGAGACUGUGCUAAUGGAGCCCAUUAGCCGUAAUGAAAUAUACAUUACACCAUUACAGGGGACGGGGCCCGGCUAAAGCACUGCACCGCUCAAAUAAUAAAACAUGUACAAUUCAAUUUCCUUCUCGGCCCGUUUUGAGUGUCUUUCAGUGAGCGGGGGUGGGUGUGUGUGGGGGGGGGGGAACGCAGGGAUGACGGGAUGAGGUGCACGAUAGAUGUGUGUGGGCGUGCUCUCGUGCGCAUCCCCUCUUACGCAGAUGUGGUUUUCAAGAAUGUCUGAGUGCUGAGAGCUUUGAAGAUUUAAUAGGGGUUGACCAGAUGAACCACACCUUCUACAGCGCAGUCACCCACACAUUUGACCAUGGUCUGACCACUCGAUACCCAAACUCCCUCAGCAGCCUUUACGCUCCCCCAUCCCUCCACCCACCAACCCCCGAUCCCCCCCCCCCCAACUCUGUGAUUUUGCGAUUGUCGGACAGCUGCGGACAAAUGAAUCAAUUGACCUCCGACACAAACGCUUGACAUCACAAGUGGAGCAUCUGUCGCUUCGGAGGUUUCGGGGUGGAGUAGUUAUCGUAUUACUCUGCUCUGUAUGACUUUGCAUCUCAGGCCUGAGGAAAGUAAAAAUGCAACAGAUAACAGUUGUAAAAUGCAAACGCAUGUAAGUGAGUACCUCAGCAUGGUGUCUGAAAUCUCUUUUCACCACAGUAGUCGGUUGCAGCUGCGUUGUCACCGAUUGUUUUGUGCAUCAGCAAUAUCGGCCAACCAGAAAUGAUCUCCUCAACGCACCUCUUAAUUUCAUCUGACAGGCAGGGAAGGAGAUUGUGUUUACUUUUCUUUCCCUUUCUGGCCAUUGUUGUGUCACACUCAAUUUCCCACAUGCAUACUGAUGUCUCGAUCGUUGCGCUUGUAGUCCUGCUGGUUGACUGCUGACUGUAAUCCUCAUUUUAGAGAGGGAGACGGA